This 447-nucleotide ribosomal RNA is filed under the name uncultured bacterium. RNAcentral's name for it is "bacterial SSU rRNA". It matches the Rfam family "Bacterial small subunit ribosomal RNA", at positions 355 to 825 of the family's 1533-position model. The record is from RNAcentral.
UGGGGAAUAUUGGACAAUGGGCGCAAGCCUGAUCCAGCCAUGCCGCGUGAACGAUGAAGGCCUUAGGGUUGUAAAGUUCUUUUGUCAGGGAAGAUAAUGACGGUACCUGAAGAAUAAGCACCGGCUAACUUCGUGCCAGCAGCCGCGGUAAUACGAAGGGUGCUAGCGUUGUUCGGAAUCACUGGGCGUAAAGCGCGCGUAGGCGGCUUAACAAGUCAGAGGUGAAAGCCUGGAGCUCAACUCCAGAACUGCCUUUGAAACUGUUAAGCUUGAGUGUCGGAGGGGAUAGCGGAAUUUCUAAUGUAGAGGUGAAAUUCGUAGAUAUUAGAAGGAACACCGGUGGCGAAGGCGGCUAUCUGGACGACAACUGACGCUGAGGCGCGAAAGCGUGGGGAUCAAACAGGAUUAGAUACCCCCGUAGUCCCUGAGCGGGCUGGCAAGGCGCAU